RNAcentral lists this ribosomal RNA (409 nucleotides) under uncultured bacterium. RNAcentral describes it as "bacterial SSU rRNA". It matches the Rfam family "Bacterial small subunit ribosomal RNA", at positions 1023 to 1433 of the family's 1533-position model. The record is from RNAcentral.
GUACAGUGGACACAGGUGGUGCAUGGUUGUCGUCAGCUCGUGUCGUGAGAUGUUGGGUUAAGUCCCGCAACGAGCGCAACCCUUGUCUUUAGUUGCCAGCAUUAAGUUGGGCACUCUAGAGAGACUGCCGAUGACAAAUCGGAGGAAGGUGGGGAUGACGUCAAAUCAUCAUGCCCUUUAUGUCCUGGGCUACACACGUGCUACAAUGGUCGGUACAACGAGAAGCAAGCUAGCGAUAGCAAGCAAAUCUCUAAAAGCCGUUCCCAGUUGGGAUUGCAGGUUGCAAUUCGCCUGCAUAAAGUCGGAUUUGCUAGUAUUCGCGAAUCAGAAUGGCGCGGUUAAUGGGUUCCCGGUUCUUGUACACACCCCCCGCCACACAAUGGGAUUUGUAAAUACCCGAAGCCAGUGA